AACGACUCUCGGCAACGGAUAUCUCGGCUCUCGCAUCGAUGAAGAACGUAGCGAAAUGCGAUACUUGGUGUGAAUUGCAGAAUCCCGUGAACCAUCGGGUCUUUGAACGCAAGUUGCGCCCGAAGCCUUCCGGCCGAGGGCACGUCUGCCUGGGCGUCACGC
RNAcentral lists this ribosomal RNA (162 nucleotides) under Pereskia aculeata. RNAcentral's name for it is "5.8S ribosomal RNA". It matches the Rfam family "5.8S ribosomal RNA". Rfam says of the family: 5.8S ribosomal RNA (5.8S rRNA) is a component of the large subunit of the eukaryotic ribosome. It is transcribed by RNA polymerase I as part of the 45S precursor that also contains 18S and 28S rRNA. The record is from RNAcentral. Lineage: Eukaryota; Viridiplantae; Streptophyta; Magnoliopsida; Caryophyllales; Cactaceae.